Molecule: long non-coding RNA, 1710 nt
Filed under: Ananas comosus (pineapple)
Lineage: Eukaryota; Viridiplantae; Streptophyta; Magnoliopsida; Poales; Bromeliaceae
Description: long non-coding RNA (ACOM_LNC021763)
Source: RNAcentral
UAAAAUUAAGGAAUUAGUCAUAAUCAUUAAAAUACCGAAAUUAUUUUGUCAUCUUAUGGUUCUUUUUUUUUUAAGAAAAAAAUAGCAUGCUAUCUGAUUCAUUUAGUUUCCUUUUACAAAUAAAUUUAGCUAGAAAUAUAAAGCAAUUAUACUUCGGUACCAACUAUUAAAUUCUUUACCAUUUCACUAUUCUAUAGUUUAAAAAAUUACACUAAAUUAUUCCUAUGGUUUAGCUUAUAUUUACUUUCUCAGCCUAUAAUUCAAAAAGGUAUACUGAAUUAUUCUGUGGUUAUUAAAAAAUUUUAAUUUGUAACCUUACUUGUUAGUAGAUUUUUUUGAUAGAAAUAAAAAUAAAAUUAUAGAAUAGUUAAAUGCACCUGUUUAAACUACAGUAUGAUAAAGUAAAAUUAAACUAAACCACAUAGAAACAGAUUAAAGUUUAUCCUAUCAUUAAAUAUGGAGCUAAAUCUAUGACAUAUGAACCCUCCAUAGCCUUACCUCCAUCAUAAAAGAGAUAGUUUCAUAAUCAAGUAUCGUAAAAUUGAGAUAUAUUAAGUAAACCUAAAGAGGAGUAGGUCCCUUGUACUUUCGAAAAUAUGGAGGGUUACGUGUUUGUAAGUUAUUUUUGAUAAUAUAGGAUAUUCGAUUCGAAAAUCAACUCUGUUAAGCAUAAUAUAGUAUACUACUGGAAUUAUUUAGAAAUCAAAUUUCAUAAUUUUUUGACAUUAUUUACCAAGUGGUCGAAAGAUCUGAAAAAUGACUAUUUUAACGGUCGAUGUGGCGCGUUUUUAAGUUCAACGGUGUAGAAUAAUCCAAAUUAUAUGAAACAUUAAUAAAAAAUUCUACUUAAUAUCAAUAGCAAGAUCAAUACUUUUGAUUUAAAAUUUGAGUCUUUUAUCACUGUUUUUUAUGAUAUUUUUAUUUUCAACCGUUCAUUUUGAGACUACUUGUUCACUAGGCAGAUGAAGUCAAAAAAUUAUAAAGUUUGAUUUCUAAAUAGUUCCAAUAAAAUAGAUCAUGUUUAAUAAAAUUAAUUACCGAACCAGAUGUUCCAUCAUCGAAAAUAAUUUAUAAAUACGGAGACCUCCGUACUUUCAAAAUCCUAGAAGCGAGGCUCACCUAAAAAGUAAGGUCUACGAUUGUUACAAUUUACUCCGAAAAUUGGAUCUGGCCUUAUUAUGUUAAUUUAGUAUUUAGACACCCUGUUUAGAUUCCAUGCGAAUCAAUCAUUCUUUUAUUAUAGGAGUGAUUUUCCUAUUUUAUAUUUAAUAAUCUACACUCUAUCUAGUAGAGAUGUCAACGGGUCGGAUUCGGGGCUGAUUUUUAAAAGUCCGAACCCGAACCCGACCAAAAAUCCGAAACCCGAACCCGAACCCGAACUCGAAAAUUUGAACCCGAAACAAUUAUUUUUUUUUUUAAUAUUUCAAAAUAUAUUAUAUUAAAUUUAAAUUUUUAAAAUACAAAUUCAAAUAUAACAUCAAAUUUUUAUAUAUAUAUUAUAUAUAAUACAAAACAAGUUCGGGUUCGGGUCGGAUUCGGGUUCUAGUCGGAUACAAUCAAAAUCCAUAUCCGAAUCCAUAUCCGUCGGAUUUUUAUUUUUUAUAUCCAUAUCCAAAUCCAUAUCCAUAUCUAUCGGAUAUAUCCGUUUCAUUCGGGUUCGGAUUCGGAUAAAAUUUUGGGUAUCCAUACCCAUUGACAUCCCUACUAUCC